CUCAGGGAGUGGUGUAAAGUAGCACAGAGGCUGGGCAUCUAAAUCAGGCUGGUCAUCGUCUAGGAGGGCUUCCUGGAGGAGGCAACAUCCAAGGAAAGAAUAAGGAAGAGUCUGAGCCCACAGUGCUGACGGAUGGCGGGGAAGGUGCCAAGAGGCAUGCUGGGUAGCUGAGGAUGACAAUCUGGGAUCCCAAACAUCCGUGAGAGAUAAAAGUGGACAAGUCACAGCCAUGGGGGAAGGGUGACUAGUGUUCUUGAGUUGCCCUUUAACGGCUUCCAAGGGCUGGAGGGGCCUUGGAAAGGUUUUGAGGUCCAUGCUCCUGUCUUGAGGCUGACCUACCCAAGACAGUUCAGGCAGAACAUGACCCUUCUGCCGCUGUACAGCUCGCUGGGAGGAUGUGCUUUCGCCAGUCCACCAUAAAUUUCUUCUGCUGCAGGUUGAA
This 442-nucleotide long non-coding RNA is filed under the name Equus asinus (donkey). RNAcentral's name for it is "lncRNA (ENSEASG00005024822.1)". The record is from RNAcentral. Lineage: Eukaryota; Metazoa; Chordata; Mammalia; Perissodactyla; Equidae.